This 292-nucleotide ribosomal RNA is filed under the name uncultured bacterium. Its description in RNAcentral is "partial 16S ribosomal RNA". It matches the Rfam family "Bacterial small subunit ribosomal RNA", at positions 505 to 796 of the family's 1533-position model. The record is from RNAcentral.
GUGCCAGCAGCCGCGGUAAUACGAAGGGUGCAAGCGUUAAUCGGAAUUACUGGGCGUAAAGCGUGCGUAGGCGGUUGGUUAAGUCUGUCGUGAAAGCCCUGGGCUCAACCUGGGAAUGGCGAUGGAUACUGGCCAGCUAGAGUGUGAUAGAGGAUGGCGGAAUUCCCGGUGUAGCGGUGAAAUGCGUAGAGAUCGGGAGGAACAUCCGUGGCGAAGGCGGCCAUCUGGAUCAACACUGACGCUGAGGCACGAAAGCGUGGGGAGCAAACAGGAUUAGAAACCCUUGUAGUCC